GAUUCGACCCGACCGAUCUGAGCUCACAUAAUUACGAUCCAAAUGCCCGAAAUGACUGGCCUCCUCUCUUCUCGCACAAUUGAGCUACGUCAACAUAAACGACUCGUCUCUCCUAAAAUUUCUGCCAAUUGAAUUUCUAUCUGCAUUAACCACCAAAACACUCUCGAACCUUCUCCUUUCUGCCGACGACCACCACCACCCCGACAACCGCAACCACCACCACCACCCCGACAACCGCAAACACCACCACCCCGACAACCGCAACCACCACAUCUUGAAUUCAUUUUCACGAUGGAUUUACACGCCGAUCUCCUGUUAAUUUACACUAAUCUUCAAAAUGCAUUGAACAAUAUCGCGAAUAAUAUAAUUGAUCUACACGAUCAAUUACAAGCUUUGGUUUUACAGUAUAAUGAGGCGUAUGCUAAUUUUCUGUUUCAAUCUAAUCAAGAUACUCCUAAUCUUGAUUCAAUUGAAAUUUUGGGGGUUGCUACUUCCGAUUUAAGGUCUCGUAUUCAAAAUGUUGAGAGCGUUAUUAGGGUUAGGCAGCAACAAUGGAACAGGGCCGAAAUGAUUCGAGGGAUUCAUUAUUUGUCUUUGGUAUCGGCUCCGAUGCUCAUAGUGAACGGCGUCGCUAGUGCUACGAUUUUACUUGAUCUUCAUCUUCACUAUGGCUGGAAUGGGACGAUUCUUUUGGGGCAGAUUCCUUUGGAAGAAGUCGAUGAGGUUGACGAUAUUCUCGGCGAUGGCUUUUUCGAGAAUGUUGUGAAUCUUGCAGAUGCCUGAAUUUGGGCUCCUUAAUUUAUAUAAGUUAAAGAAAUCUUGAAGUCUUUCGAUUACAAUUUGGGAAUUUUCGAUUUUGAGGUUUAAUUUUUGGUGGGUAUUAGCUGAAUAUUGGGAGAGGAUUGGAAAGUGAAGCUGUUCUGUGAGAUCGAUUUCAGGAACUCAAUUUCAAUUGGGUAUGUAAGAUUAUUUGGAUAGGUUUCUGAAUAUUGGGUGAAUUUCGUAAAUUGGGGAAUUGAUUGACAGAGGUUGCCAAAAGUGAAGUUCUGUGCAAUCGAUUUUAGGGUGCUGCGAUGUGAGGUCUUAAGUCUCAUUGGUGGAGAGCAGACUGGAAACUCUUCAGCAAAGUCUAUAAAAGUUGAGAGAACAGUGGUUGAGUCGUUGAGAUGCCUGAGCUGAUAGAUACGGGUAUGGUGAUUUGCUUGGAGAAUAGCCAAGGAAAGCUAAAAAGAGCAAUUUGUUGCACGCAAGCCUUUGUCAUCAUCUCUCUUAAUUUAUCUAAGAACUGACGAUGAUUCACGGAUCAUUUGACACAAGCGUGAGAUCCCUAAGAGGGUAGUAUAGUUCCCUGAUUCAAAGGGAACAAUACUAGAUUCAUUCAGACAAAUCAAUGUCGGAAUCCAGAUGAUUUAUUCGUGGCAAAGUUGCAGUGAUAAAAACAUGAUAUUGUCAAGAAUUUACUAUGACGUGUUGUAGAAGUCAUAAGAGCUAGACAAUCUUAAAUCCCUUGUCUUUGUGCAGUAUUUGUAAGUUUAGAAAGGAUGAGGCUGUUUAGUGCAGCUAUAUACUUGUGCAUUUUUCGAAGAACGAAUUCUUGUAGUUAUUCCAAUUAUACUGCCUAUUUUUUUUUUUUUUGGGAGUCUGAAAUACCAAUACAGGAUUUCUUGCUUAAUUUUGCACUGUGACAAUUGAUGAUUGUAACUCAAAGAUGUUUUAUAUUUGUUGAUACGUUAUUUUAGGCAUGUUCAUCAAUAAAUGAUUUUAAAAAUCAAUAUCUUCGAUUAUCAAAACACACACAUCACUCAUCAAUACCUUCAAUUUUCAGUA
Molecule: long non-coding RNA, 1827 nt
Organism: Chenopodium quinoa (quinoa)
Lineage: Eukaryota; Viridiplantae; Streptophyta; Magnoliopsida; Caryophyllales; Amaranthaceae
Exons: 3
Source: RefSeq, a predicted model, not a curated record